RNAcentral lists this long non-coding RNA (2889 nucleotides) under Malus domestica (apple). RNAcentral describes it as "long non-coding RNA (MDOM_LNC004419)". The record is from RNAcentral. Lineage: Eukaryota; Viridiplantae; Streptophyta; Magnoliopsida; Rosales; Rosaceae.
UAAUCUCUCCUACAUUCACUCUCUCUCCUCUCCCUCAUUUUCUCCACUGCUCAUCCUCCCUCAUCUCAACUUCACCGGAUCUUCGAGCGUCAACGUCUCCAACCACACCUUCGAGGACGGACAAAUUUGUUGAGGUAUAAAAUUAAAUAAAUAAAUGGUUUGUUUAUUGGGUUUUAAAUUAGGGUUUUGUUAUUGAAUUUGAUGAAUUUCUUUGUGUCGUGCAAAUUAGAUUGGUUGGCAUCUUAUUAAUUUAUUGGGUUUUAAUUUGGUGAAUUCCUUGCGGAUGAGAAUCAUCAUUCUUGCUAUCAGAGAAAUCAUCGGUCCUUUUAUCACCCUAAGCAUUUCCGUCAAUUAAAUUAAUUUAUGGGUUAUUUUUAAGUGUAUUUUACUAUGUAAUCAUCACAUUUGAUCGUGUGUAGGAUCUGAAAGGAGGAGAGGGAUAAUCGUUGGUGUAGUGGUGGUCGGUGUCGAGCAAGAGUGGGAGGGACGACGACGGUCCUAAGGAUCUGAUGCGGGGGGAGAACGAGGGAAUAGGAAAGAGAUCAUUCUGGUUGUUUUAGGGACAAGGAUUGUCAUUUUGUAAAACUAACGAAUGUGUUAUUGGAAUUGAGAAAGUUUCAUUAACAUUGCACUGUAGCUCCGCAUGUUUUGAAAAAAAAACUGUUUUUUCUUAGCUAUGAUUUGCUGCUUCAGGAUUUUGGCUUUUUUUCACCCUCAACGGUGAAAAAAAGAUGAUUUUAGUGUGUUUACCAAACAUUAAAAAGACCCCAACUUUUUUCAUACCUUUUUUUUUUUUUAUAAUUUCAGUUGUGCCAAACUGGUACUAUAUAAGCCAAACUAAAUUGGGACUUGUAUUAGAAUGAGGUAAGUGAUACAGGAGUUUCUACACUAACAAUCUAAUGCUGAUUUUGCAUAGGUUAUAUUCAUAAUUUGCCAAAAUGUCUAAUUGUUAUGCUAAGGACAAUUAAUCAUGCACGUGUAUGAGUGAUUGUCAAGUAUUAAUGUAUUGUAAGACUAACAUGCAUCAACGACUGACAGUCACUUAUACACAGUGAACGACUGUUCAUAGCAUUCUAUAACACUUUCUCAUUACCCGUAUUAUAGUCCACCCUCCUUUGAUUAAAAACACAAGCUAAUGUGGUGUUCACAACAUGUCUAUAGGCAAAUGAGCCUUAAGUUUAUGAUUGUAUAGUAAACAUGCUUUACAAGCCAAAUUAAAUUGGGACUUGUAUUAGAAUGUGAUACGUAAUACAGGAUUUUCUACACUAACAAUCUAGCUAAUGGCUGAUUUUGCAUAGGCCAUACUCAUAAUUUGCCAUAAUAUCUAAUCCUAUGCUAAGGACAAUUACUCAUGCACGUGUCUGUUGAUUGUCAAGUUGUCAACUGUUAAUGUACUGUGAAAUUUACAUGCAUCAACGGUUGACAGUCAUUCAUACACAUGUGAACGACUGUUCCUAGUAUUCUAUAAUGCUUUCUCAUAAGUCAUAUUUGACUCCACCUUCCUUUGAUUAAAAACACAAGCUAAUGUGGUGUUUGUAACAUGUCUGUAGGCAAAUGAGCCUUAAGUUUAUGAUUAUACCCUAAACCAUGAUAGGCAUGCAGAGUAAAUAAUGGAACCAUUUCCAAAGGCUUUUCAUUGAGAACCAAAGCCUCUGGUGAUUGAACUCUUGUGCUGCGUAGGGCAUCGUAUAUAUUUAUAAUGCCUGUUUCCUCAACAAAAACAAUGAAAUAAAAAGAACCUCUUGAGACUAGGGUGGGCAUCGGGUGGGUUGGUUGGGUUAAACUUCAAUUUAUUGGCCAACCCAAUAGUUUCGGAUGACAUUGUUGUAAUCCAUUGCCAGCCAAGAAAAUGGGCAAACUAACCCACCCAAACCAUUAUUUCAUGCUUAAUGUGCGUAUGAGUGACAAAUAAUUAAAAAUGGUUAAUUAUAUUUAAUACCAAUUUCGUAGUUAAUUAUUAGGUUUAAUCCUGAAUAUUUUGCUUAUAAAUUUAGGUCCCUUGAAAGUCAAUUCAACUAAGCAAUUUUCCUAUUUUGUAACGAUAAGGUUCACCAAAAUCUAUUAUAAAACAGAAGAGGUCCAUUAGAAAGCUGAUCAAGUUAAAUUGGAUAACUUUAUAAACCCCAUUACUGGUCCAUUGCCAACCACAUACAAAAAAAUUUGUAGAUUCACAACAAAAUUUGAAACGAAGGAUUGGCUGUUUUCAAGCCUGUGGAGAAGUUUUAGUAAGAAUCGUUUUGCCACAUAUUUUAGCUUAAAAAACAAUACCUAGUGACAGAAUUUUGUCGAAAGCAUAUCAGGUGAUGUAUAAAUACAUUUUUUAGGGUUCAUCUCUGUAACACAAUUAUUGCAUACUUAUUCUCUUACUUACUACUCAAGUCUCAAAUAUUGCUUACUAACUUAACUGUUGGAUAGUCUUUGACCAACACCCCACUGGUCCUAAAAUUGGUUAAGAUUGUUUACUGUUUUACAGAUAAUUAAGUUUGUGCAUCUCCAACCCUCACGGUGGUGCACGAAUUUGAUUCCAACCAAACUCGUUUUCUACCUGACUGUAAAAGUAUGAAGUAUCAUCAAAAGAAACACUUCAAUUACUUUGAGCACUAGAAUAUUUUUUUUUUCUCAAAUAGUACAAACAUAAUAUGAAACAUAAGUAAUUAUUGGCAAACCCAAAAAAAUAAAAAAGUACAUCUUAUUUAUCCACGUUAAUUUUGUUUUCCACCUUUAUUUUGUUUGGUGACAUGACAUCAAGUAAAUAGUUCCACUUAGUUUUCAAAAGUUUGUACUUAUAAUUCCAAUGAUCUCAAAAGUCCAGUCGCUUGACUCACUCCUCCUAAUAAAAGAGAAAAGAGAUGCCUUUUUCAUUGUUACCAUCUAAAACAUCGAAAAAAA